This is a long non-coding RNA of Hibiscus syriacus, 163 nucleotides long. RefSeq lists it as uncharacterized. The record is from RefSeq and is a predicted model, not a curated record. NCBI's taxonomy places the organism in Eukaryota, Viridiplantae, Streptophyta, Magnoliopsida, Malvales, Malvaceae. The transcript is spliced from 3 exons.
UCAAAUUUAAAAAACUAGCCGCAGAUGCACAUGGAAUGAUAAUUACCUGUUCUUGCUCAGAAAUGUUGAUAACAACUGAAAUCCAGCUCUCUGUGCUCUUAUAUCAUGCAAACCAUUAGCACUGCUCCAAAAUUCAAUCAAAGGUUCGAUGAAAUUCUUGGAC